This 72-nucleotide transfer RNA is filed under the name Bos taurus (domestic cattle). It matches the Rfam family "tRNA". From Rfam's summary of the family: Transfer RNA (tRNA) molecules are approximately 80 nucleotides in length. Their secondary structure includes four short double-helical elements and three loops (D, anti-codon, and T loops). The record is from Rfam by way of RNAcentral. RNAcentral also lists the same sequence under 3 other names. Lineage: Eukaryota; Metazoa; Chordata; Mammalia; Artiodactyla; Bovidae.
UCCCUGGCGGUCCAGUGGUUAGGGCUUGGUGCUGUCACUGCCGUGACCCGGGUUCAACCCCUGGUUGGGGAA